Molecule: long non-coding RNA, 838 nt
Filed under: Zostera marina
Lineage: Eukaryota; Viridiplantae; Streptophyta; Magnoliopsida; Alismatales; Zosteraceae
Description: long non-coding RNA (ZMAR_LNC002598)
Source: RNAcentral
UAUUAAAAAUGAAUAAAAAUCAAGAUCAAAUAUUCAACAUCAACAGAAUAUAAAAAAAAUUAAUGAAGAAACAUUGAAAUCCGAUCGUAUUGAAAUCUUUCAGGUAAGAUACAUUUCCAAAUAUAUGGCUCUUGUCCUUUGUCUGCAAAUAAUGAGCAUCCCUUUCUGGUUGGCUAAAUGAACCUCUCGACUAAUUCAUAUUGCCUUAAAGAAUCACAUAGAGACGCCUAUCCAGUGAUUCUUUUCAUUACAUGGAUGAUGAUGCAUCAAAUGCUUUCAAAGAAUAAACAUAUCAAAGCUUUUUAAUGUCUCAACCUUAUUGCCAUUGCAAGGAAUUUACAUCUUGUGAAGAAGAUACAACUGAUUAUCAUACAAAUGCAAGAAACUUUAACCAAGGCACAAAUUUGCAGAAUUGAAGCUCCAAUGAACAUAGAAAUGCAUCAAAGUCAUUCAUCACCGUAUUGUAAUAAAUUCAUAACUUUAGCGGGGGUACAAAGUUGUGGAAUUGAAGUUCCAAUGAACAUAGGAAUGCAUCAAAGUCAUUCAUCACCGUACUGUAAUAAAUUUGUAACCUGCACAGAAGAUGCACCUGAUGAUUAUCAUUAUAUGAAUACAAGAAACUUCAGGGGAGAGACAAAUUUGUGGAAUUGAAGUUCCAAUGAACACAGGAAUGUAUCAAAAUCACCCAUCACCAAAUGAAAUUAAAGCUUCCUCUCAUUGCAUAGUAUCAAAUUUGCCCCCCCCCCAUCCCAUCACUAAAUACUUAGAUCUUCUUUUCUAUGACCUCACUCCUUCAAUGGUAUUUUUUAACAUCAUCGAGUAAUGCAUUUUAUAGGCA